RNAcentral lists this ribosomal RNA (253 nucleotides) under uncultured bacterium. RNAcentral describes it as "partial 16S ribosomal RNA". It matches the Rfam family "Bacterial small subunit ribosomal RNA", at positions 524 to 776 of the family's 1533-position model. The record is from RNAcentral.
UACGGAGGGUGCAAGCGUUAUCCGGAUUCACUGGGGUUAAAGGGUGCGUAGGUGGUCAAGUAAGUCAGUGGUGAAAUUUCCGGGCUUAACCCGGAAACUGCCAUUGAUACUAUUUGUCUUGAAUACUGUGGAGGUCAGCGGAAUAUGUCAUGUAGCGGUGAAAUGCUUAGAUAUGACAUAGAACACCAAUUGCGAAGGCAGCUGGCUACACAAAUAUUGACACUGAGGCACGAAAGCGUGGGGAGCAAACAGG